GAUGAACGCUGGCGGCGUGCCUAAUACAUGCAAGUCGAGCGAACAGACGAGGAGCUUGCUCCUCUGACGUUAGCGGCGGACGGGUGAGUAACACGUGGAUAACCUACCUAUAAGACUGGGAUAACUUCGGGAAACCGGAGCUAAUACCGGAUAAUAUAUUGAACCGCAUGGUUCAAUAGUGAAAGACGGUUUUGCUGUCACUUAUAGAUGGAUCCGCGCCGCAUUAGCUAGUUGGUAAGGUAACGGCUUACCAAGGCAACGAUGCGUAGCCGACCUGAGAGGGUGAUCGGCCACACUGGAACUGAGACGCGGUCCAGACUCCUACGGGAGGCAGCAGUAGGGAAUCUUCCGCAAUGGGCGAAAGCCUGACGGAGCAACGCCGCGUGAGUGAUGAAGGUCUUCGGAUCGUAAAACUCUGUUAUUAGGGAAGAACAAAUGUGUAAGUAACUAUGCACGUCUUGACGGUACCUAAUCAGAAAGCCACGGCUAACUACAUG
RNAcentral lists this ribosomal RNA (497 nucleotides) under uncultured bacterium. RNAcentral's name for it is "partial 16S ribosomal RNA". It matches the Rfam family "Bacterial small subunit ribosomal RNA", at positions 28 to 507 of the family's 1533-position model. The record is from RNAcentral.